ACUUAAAUUGAAGAGUUUGAUCAUGGCUCAGAUUGAACGCUGGCGGCAGGCCUAACACAUGCAAGUCGAGCGGUAGCACAGAGAGCUUGCUCUCGGGUGACGAGCGGCGGACGGGUGAGUAAU
This 123-nucleotide ribosomal RNA is filed under the name Klebsiella pneumoniae subsp. pneumoniae KPNIH6. RNAcentral's name for it is "partial 16S ribosomal RNA". It matches the Rfam family "Bacterial small subunit ribosomal RNA", at positions 1 to 114 of the family's 1533-position model. RNAcentral also lists the same sequence under 2 other names. Lineage: Bacteria; Pseudomonadati; Pseudomonadota; Gammaproteobacteria; Enterobacterales; Enterobacteriaceae. The record is from RNAcentral.